UACGGGGGGGCAAGCGUUGUUCGGAAUUACUGGGCGUAAAGGGCGCGUAGGCGGUUUGCUAUGUCGGAUGUGAAAACUCUGGGCUUAACCCAGAGCCUGCAUCCGAAACUGGCGAGCUAGAGUUCUGGAGGGGAUAGCGGAAUUCCUGGUGUAGCGGUGAAAUGCGUAGAUAUCAGGAGGAACACCAGUGGCGAAGGCGGCUACCUGGACAGAAACUGACACUGAGAGACGAAAGCUAGGGGAGCAAACGGG
Molecule: ribosomal RNA, 252 nt
Filed under: uncultured bacterium
Lineage: Bacteria
Description: partial 16S ribosomal RNA
Rfam family: Bacterial small subunit ribosomal RNA
Source: RNAcentral